This 261-nucleotide ribosomal RNA is filed under the name uncultured bacterium. RNAcentral describes it as "partial 16S ribosomal RNA". It matches the Rfam family "Bacterial small subunit ribosomal RNA", at positions 524 to 784 of the family's 1533-position model. The record is from RNAcentral.
UACGAAGGGUGCUAGCGUUGUUCGGAAUCAUUGGGCGUAAAGCGCGUGUAGGCUGCUUAUUAAGUCGGGUGUGAAAUCCCUAGGCUCAACCAAGGAAGUGCAUCCGAAACUAAUAAGCUAGAAGACGGUAGAGGAAGGUGGAAUUCCAAGUGUAGAGGUGAAAUUCGUAGAUAUUUGGAGGAAUACCGGUGGCGAAGGCGGCCUUCUGGGCCGUUCUUGACGCUGAGACGCGAAAGCGUGGGUAGCAAACAGGAUUAGAAA